Molecule: non-coding RNA, 24 nt
Filed under: Arabidopsis thaliana (thale cress)
Lineage: Eukaryota; Viridiplantae; Streptophyta; Magnoliopsida; Brassicales; Brassicaceae
Source: RNAcentral
AAAUAUGACAUAAUUUAUUUAUAU